GGAAUCUGUUGGUUAUCUAGUGGACUCUGGCAAAGUAUCAGGCAUGCUUGUACCACGUGUUAAUUUAAGUGAUGACUUGUGUGAUAGGAGACACCCACAUUCUGGUAAAGGAUAUGCAUAAACGGAAGUUUUUCUAUUAAUUUUUCUGACUCUGGGUACCACCACUCCCUGGCGAUCACUUUCUGUAAGCAUUGCUUCCAUCUGAUCCUUGAAGGCCUUCCAACUGCAAAUCAGAAGUAGACAUUGUGUCAUCAUCGACUAACACAAUCUUGUUUACAAUGACCCCUCACCAAAAUCCUGGAGUUCUACUUUGUCCUUAGAAAAGGCCCAGAAACAACUGCCUCAGAUUUCUAAACUCCAGCUUUUAGCCUGCAACCCAAGCAUAUCUUACAAAACAUACAUCACUUUUACCGCAAGCUCCUAAGUCAGUUAAAAAAAACCUUCAUAUUUAAAAAUAAUUUAAAAAAAAAAAACUCUUCUAUAGUUUAACUGUGAUGUUCAACCCACGCCAUGUAACUAGAGCAUUCCAAUUAGCCCAAUCAAUAGGACUUCUACUUUAAGUAACAAACCACAGAUUCUAAGUGCGACACUGCCACCCUAUCUCUAUCCCUAUGAGUUACCAAACAUCAUGAUACGCACUAUUUCCUAUUGAAUUACGGUCUGGCAAAAGUCAUAAUAUCAAGUGGUCAAGAUAGAAGGGUCAAGUCAAAAUUUUGAAACACUAUCUGACAUGCAUAAAUUCCUUGAAACAUCAGUAGUAAUGAGGAAUAAUGCAUGGGUAAGAUACCUGAUUUCCAUAUCCUGCAGGAGAACA
RNAcentral lists this unclassified non-coding RNA (814 nucleotides) under Hevea brasiliensis (rubber tree). Lineage: Eukaryota; Viridiplantae; Streptophyta; Magnoliopsida; Malpighiales; Euphorbiaceae. The record is from RNAcentral.